RNAcentral lists this ribosomal RNA (253 nucleotides) under uncultured bacterium. RNAcentral's name for it is "partial 16S ribosomal RNA". It matches the Rfam family "Bacterial small subunit ribosomal RNA", at positions 524 to 776 of the family's 1533-position model. The record is from RNAcentral.
CACGUAGGGUGCGAGCGUUGUCCGGAAUUAUUGGGCGUAAAGAGCUCGUAGGCGGUUUGUCGCGUCGAAUGUGAAAACCCGGGGCUCAACCCCGGGCCUGCAUUCGAUACGGGCAGACUAGAGUUCGGUAGGGGAGUCUGGAAUUCCUGGUGUAGCGGUGAAAUGCGCAGAUAUCAGGAGGAACACCGGUGGCGAAGGCGGGACUCUGGGCAGUAACUGACGCUGAGGAGCGAAAGCGUGGGGAGCGAACAGG